CCUACGGGUGGCAGCAGUCGAGAAUCAUUCACAAUGGGGGAAACCCUGAUGGUGCGACGCCGCGUGGGGGAAUGAAGGUCUUCGGAUUGUAAACCCCUGUCAUGUGGGAGCAAAUUAAAAAGAUAGUACCACAAGAGGAAGAGACGGCUAACUCUGUGCCAGCAGCCGCGGUAAUACAGAGGUCUCAAGCGUUGUUCGGAAUCACUGGGCGUAAGGCGUACGUAGGCUGUUUCGUAAGUCGUGUGUGAAAGGCGCGGGCUCAACCCGCGGACGGCACAUGAUACUGCGAGACUAGAGUAAUGGAGGGGGAACCGGAAUUCUCGGUGUAGCAGUGAAAUGCGUAGAUAUCGAGAGGAACACUCGUGGCGAAGGCGGGUUCCUGGACAUUAACUGACGCUGAGGCACGAAGGCCAGGGGAGCGAAAGGGAUUAGAUACCCUAGUAGUC
Molecule: ribosomal RNA, 446 nt
Filed under: uncultured bacterium
Lineage: Bacteria
Description: partial 16S ribosomal RNA
Rfam family: Bacterial small subunit ribosomal RNA
Source: RNAcentral